Triticum aestivum (bread wheat) is the source of this 135-nucleotide non-coding RNA. NCBI's taxonomy places the organism in Eukaryota, Viridiplantae, Streptophyta, Magnoliopsida, Poales, Poaceae. The record is from Rfam.
CAACUACUCCCUCUAUCCAAAAUUUAUUAUCUUAGAUUUGUCUAGAUACAGAGGUAUCUAAUACUAAAAUGUGACUUGAUACAUCCAUAUCUAGACAAAUCUAAGACAAGAAUUUUGGGACAGAGGGAGUACUUU